Xenopus laevis (African clawed frog) is the source of this 423-nucleotide non-coding RNA. NCBI's taxonomy places the organism in Eukaryota, Metazoa, Chordata, Amphibia, Anura, Pipidae. The record is from the annotation of a RefSeq genome assembly.
CUUCAUAUUUCUCUCUCUCUCUGUUGUGCACAAAUGCAGAGUCAGUGGAAUUCUGUCAUAAUUGGGCUGCUAUCUAUUUACUGUGUGACCUGUCAGUCCGUAUAUGUGGAGGAAGGACAGACAGCCUCUCUAUCAUGUACAUAUGAAACAAGUGCAAUUACAAAUUUGAGAUGGUAUCGACAGUAUCCCGGAGGGAAACCAGAUGAAAUUAUUACUGUUAUUAAUGAUGGGAAUAAAACGGAAGGAAAAUUCACAGCGGAGAUCCAGAAGAAGCACAAAACCAGUUUCCUCUAUGUAACAAACACAAGAGUGACUGAUUCUGCAUCUUAUGUCUGUGCUACUGAUGCACAGUGUCAGACAUCCUAUGGCAGCCUAUGCAAGAACAUUGUGCUGUUAGAUGCUUGGCUCCCAACGAUACAGUGA